GUGGGGAAUUUUGCGCAAUGGGGGCAACCCUGACGCAGCAACGCCGCGUGAGUGAUGAAGGCCUUUGGGUCGUAAAGCUCUGUCAGAGGGAAAGAAAUGUGGGCGACUAAUAAUUGUUCCACUUGACGGUACCCUCAAAGGAAGCACCGGCUAACUCCGUGCCAGCAGCCGCGGUAAUACGGAGGGUGCGAGCGUUGUUCGGAAUUAUUGGGCGUAAAGCGCGUGUAGGCGGCUUAUUAAGUCUGAUGUGAAAGCCCUGGGCUCAACCUGGGAAGUGCAUUGGAUACUGGUAGACUUGAGUACGGGAGAGGGCAGUGGAAUUCCCAGUGUAGGAGUGAAAUCCGUAGAUAUUGGGAGGAACACCGGUGGCGAAGGCGGCUGCCUGGACCGAUACUGACGCUGAGACGCGAAAGCGUGGGGAGCAAACAGGAUUAGAUACCCCAGUAGUCC
Molecule: ribosomal RNA, 450 nt
Filed under: uncultured bacterium
Lineage: Bacteria
Description: bacterial SSU rRNA
Rfam family: Bacterial small subunit ribosomal RNA
Source: RNAcentral